GCAGACCCCCCGUGUGGCGUCACCUCACCCAACUCCCCCAGGGCCGGAAGGCAGCAAGGGUCAGUGAGCUCUGACGGGUGCGCGGGGGGUCCUUUCAU
This 98-nucleotide signal recognition particle RNA is filed under the name Allobogoriella caseilytica. Its description in RNAcentral is "Bogoriella caseilytica Bacterial small signal recognition particle RNA". It matches the Rfam family "Bacterial small signal recognition particle RNA". Rfam says of the family: The signal recognition particle (SRP) is a universally conserved ribonucleoprotein involved in the co-translational targeting of proteins to membranes. Archaeal SRP consists of a 7S RNA and homologues of the eukaryotic SRP19 and SRP54 proteins. In most bacteria, the SRP consists of a 4.5S RNA and the Ffh protein (a homologue of the eukaryotic SRP54 protein). The record is from RNAcentral. Lineage: Bacteria; Bacillati; Actinomycetota; Actinomycetes; Allobogoriellales; Allobogoriellaceae.